CUCUAACCCCGCGCGGUGGCCUGAGCCCUGGAACUGUCCCCUGUCGGCCCCCGCCCCCUCAGUCCAGUGGUGCCAUGGAAACAGGGCCAGGAGUCAGGCAGAGCCAGGUUCGGAUUCCACCGCGUCCGGCUUUGUGAUCGCGGACCAGCGGCCCACCCUCGGGCCCUUAGGGCCUCAUCGAUAAGUACCACUGUCUGCACCGUCAGUAAUAACACUGGAGCCCCUCGAGAGGGUCUCAGAGGUGGUGAUGUAUGAUAGCAGUCUGCACAUAAUGGGUCGACACUAAAUUUACCAGUUGUUAACAUUCUCCACGUUUGCCUUCUCACCCAUAAAUGGUACAGAUGCCUGCGUACAUAAGGAAUUACACUUACACACGAUCUAACUUCCACAAACUAAAAGCUUUGAGUAACGGCCUCGCUGAAUUUAAAACACUCAUAAAUACUGUUCCUAACCGUCCCAUGUCACUGGCCCGUAUAACUGCAAAGAUUGCACCCUCCUCCAUUUUAAAGAGUAAUUGUUCUGUUGUGUU
Chinchilla lanigera (long-tailed chinchilla) is the source of this 529-nucleotide long non-coding RNA. RefSeq lists it as uncharacterized. NCBI's taxonomy places the organism in Eukaryota, Metazoa, Chordata, Mammalia, Rodentia, Chinchillidae. The record is from RefSeq and is a predicted model, not a curated record. The transcript is spliced from 3 exons.